GACGAACGCUGGCGGCGUGCUUAACACAUGCAAGUCGUACGGUAAGGCCCUUUCGGGGGUACACGAGUGGCGAACGGGUGAGUAACACGUGAGUAACCUGCCCACAACUUUGGGAUAACGCUAGGUAACUGGUGCUAAUACUGGAUAUGUGCUCCUGCUGCAUGGUGGGGGUUGGAAAGCUCCGGCGGUUGUGGAUGGACUCGCGGCCUAUCAGCUUGCUGGUGGGGUAGUGGCCUACCAAGGCGGCGACGGGUAGCCGGCCUGAGGGGGUGACCGGCCACAUUGGGACUGAGAUGCGGCCCAGAUGCCUACGGGAGGCAGCAGGGGGGAAUAUUGCACGAUGGGCGCAAGCCUGGUGCAGCAACGCCGCGUACGGGAAGACGGCCUUCGGGUUGUAAACCGCUUUCAGCAGGGACGAAGCUUUUUGUGACGGUACCUGCAGAAGAAGCACCGGCUAACUACGUG
Molecule: ribosomal RNA, 465 nt
Filed under: uncultured bacterium
Lineage: Bacteria
Description: partial 16S ribosomal RNA
Rfam family: Bacterial small subunit ribosomal RNA
Source: RNAcentral